CCUACGGGUGGCAGCAGUGGGGAAUAUUGCACAAUGGGGGAAACCCUGAUGCAGCAACGCCGCGUGAGUGAAGACGGAUUUCGGAUUGUAAAGCUCUGUCAGCAGUGAAGAAGAAAGACGGUACCUGACUAAGAAGCCCCGGCUAACUACGUGCCAGCAGCCGCGGUAAUACGUAGGGGGCAAGCGUUAUCCGGAUUUACUGGGUGUAAAGGGAGCGUAGACGGCAGUGCAAGUCUGCAGUGAAAACCCGUGGCUCAACCGGUGAACUGCAUUGGAAACUGUAUAUCUUGAGUACUGGAGAGGCAGGCGGAAUUCCUAGUGUAGCGGUGAAAUGCGUAGAUAUUAGGAGGAACACCAGUGGCGAAGGCGGCCUGCUGGACAGAAACUGACGUUGAGGCUCGAAAGCGUGGGGAGCAAACAGGAUUAGAUACCCGGGUAGUC
RNAcentral lists this ribosomal RNA (441 nucleotides) under uncultured bacterium. RNAcentral's name for it is "partial 16S ribosomal RNA". It matches the Rfam family "Bacterial small subunit ribosomal RNA", at positions 338 to 795 of the family's 1533-position model. The record is from RNAcentral.